Molecule: non-coding RNA, 2437 nt
Organism: Cinara cedri
Lineage: Eukaryota; Metazoa; Arthropoda; Insecta; Hemiptera; Aphididae
Source: the annotation of a GenBank genome assembly
AGAAAAUCACUAUAUUUGGAUAUAUUUUCUCCUCAAAAGGGUUGUGUGCCAUAGAAGCAGCUUUGGAACAAGGUGAGCAUAAUAUUUAGAUAUUCCUUUUGGCCUCCCAUGUUUUUUUUUUUUUUUCUAAAACUUUACCCGAAUUUCCUCCUAAUUCGAACAUAUCAAAACACAAAUCGCCUCCUAUUUAAGGACCUUAAGGUCCGCUCAAACUUAAUCGGUAACGGUGAUGUUAGUUUUGAAGAUAUUUAUUUCGCUUUAUUUCCGCGUGGACCAUUUAAUCGAAGAAAAAUAUUUCACCAAGCAGUGAAUAGUCGACAUUGUGAAAUCUAUGCGUAGUGUAACAAAUUAAUACAGUUUUUUUUUCAAAUCGGGAGUGCUAUAUUAUAUUAUAUUAUAAGAUAUUCUUUUACAGCUUUUAUUAAUUGUUCUAUUUUAUUUAUUAUUUGUAUUAAAUUUAGAAAACUACUUAUAGCAUUCACAAUGUAUAAUGGAAAUUUAACUGUUAGGUACCUAUUUAUUAUGAUUUUGGAUUUGUUGUUGAAUAUUAAGUUAAAGUAUAUUAUUAUGAAAUUUACUGCUAAACUUACUAAUAAUAAAAUUUCAAUAUGUGUACAUAAUUGAGAAUUUACUGUUGAUUAUCGCAGCCAAUGAGUUUAAAAUUUUCGAAUUUGGGUUAAUUAAAAUUAAAAUUAAGUUUAUUGAUUUUUUAAAUAAAUUAUACAUAAUUUUUUUUAUGUCAUUUUUCAAAUUUAAUUUAAAUCCUUAUCAAGUAAAAAUUGUUUUACCUUUUUUGCUAAUAAAAUUUAUUUGAUAUAUUAUGUACCUACGUAUUACUAUAAUGGUUGUGCAUACAUAACUCACUAUGUUGAUCUGAUCGCUGGUGAUAUUGAAUACUAUUUCAAAUUGAUAAAUUUAUUAAUCUUUUUAGGAAAUACUAUAAAUACCUAUUUUAAAACAUUACAGAAAUCGAUAUAUUAAUUAUUACCUAAUGUAUGUAUUGGAGGCGAUUUGAGUAGAGAAACCUACUUAGGUAUGUACUAAAAUAGCUCCUAAAACAUUUGGAGCAAUUUGAGUAAUAAAAGUUCACUUUACUAAAUUUGGCAAGCAAUUUGUAUGCGCACAUUCCUCAUUUGAUAAAAAAGAAUAACAUAUUUUUCCAUAGGUUUAGAAGUAACUGCACUGGUUAGAGAUCAAAGUCGUAUGCCCGAAAAGCUCCGUAAAUAGGUGAAAAUGGUCAUGGCUGAUGUUUUGAACGAACAGGAUGUGGAUAAGGUUGUUAGAAGAAGCAAUGCAAUCAUUGUGACUUAAGGAACCAGAAGUACUUUAUUAAUUAUAUUUGAUUUAUUUAAAAUUACAUAAGUAAUAUAGUCUGUGUAAACCUUGUAAAUAUAAUUUAAAUCACUUUUGCAGCCCCUACCACUAUGAUGUCUGAUGGAUUGAUGAAUAUUUUGCGGACAAUGGAAAAGAACAAUGUGAACAUUUUAUCCUUGUGCUUAUCCUGUAAUUAUUUGUUAAUUUAUUUAAUGUUUGCUAUUUAUUUGUACCAUUGUAUAUUAAAUAUUAUUUUCUGACAAAGUUCCAGAAAGAUACCAAGGAAUCAUUGAUGAUCAUGCGCGUAUGUUACAUUCACUACUGUAGUAGUUACCCAAAAAACCUGAGAAGUUGAAAGUGAAAGCUGAUUACAAAGAAGAACUUCAAUUAUGUGCAGAUAAAUCCGAAAAUAUGAAUGACUUUGGCGUGGAGGGAGUGGAAGGUCGCCCUAAGGCUUCUAAAAAACAGCAAAGCCGCAGGCGAAGAUGGUAUUCUAUCAGAAUUCCUCAAACAUAUGGGCAUUAAAGGGAAAUUUUGGCUAGCAAGCCUUUUUCAUCAGUAAAAAAUAACAACACAUUGCUAAACAAUGGCGGGAAGCUAAAGUAGUUGCGAUAUUAAAAUCUAGUAAGCCUGACGACGACCCAAAAAGCUACAGACAGAUUUCACUGUUAUCUGUUGUUUACAAGCUAUUUGAAAGAGUACUCCUAGUAAGAAUCCAAAUACAGUGAAACUUCCAUUUAACGAAAUAUUUUUAAGAACUAUGACCUUCAUUGUUAAUUACACAUUUAAUUACACGUUUUAUCUCCAAAUAACAAAUCUGAUGUUUCUAUAUAACGAAAUAAUUAUUCGAUAAAAACCAGUUUUUAUAAAUGUUGUCACUAUCAAAUUGAUAGUUUAUGUCAUAGUUCUAAAAUUGUACAUGAACAAUGUACCCGGUAAAGAUAAGACAUCGAAGGUAGGCAAGCUGAUUAAUUUUACUACAGUACUUCAGUUCCAAUAUUGAUGCAAACAAGUAUGAAUUUUCUUUCGUUUUCUCUUCGUCUGUACAAAAAAAAUGUCGAAACAUAAAUGUUUAUCUAUCGCCGAUAAAUUUGAAAUUUUAAACGAAAUCGAUAAAGGUGUU